CCUACGGGAGGCUGCAGUGAGGAAUAUUCGUCAAUGGGCGCGAGCCUGAACCAGUAACGCAGCGUGAAGGAUGACUGCCCUACGGGUUGUAAACUUCUUUUAUAAAGGAAUAAAGUGAGGCACGUGUGCCUUUUUGUAUGUACGUUAUGUACUUGGACCGGCUAACCCCGUGCCAGCAGCCGCGGUAAUACGGAGGAUCCGAGCGUUGUCCGGAUUUAUUGGGUUGAAAGGGAGCGUAGAUGGGUCGUUAAGUCAGUUGUGAAAGUCUGCGGCUCAACCGUAAAAUUGCAAUUGAUACUGGCAGUCUUGAGUGCAGAUGAGGUAGGCGGAAUUCGUGGUGUAGCGGUGAAAUGCUUAGAGAUCACGAAGAACACCGAUGGCGAAGGCAGCUUACUAAACUGCCACUGACAUUGAUGCUCGAAAGUGUGGGUAUCAAACAGGAUUAGAUACCCGAGUAGUC
RNAcentral lists this ribosomal RNA (460 nucleotides) under uncultured bacterium. RNAcentral describes it as "partial 16S ribosomal RNA". It matches the Rfam family "Bacterial small subunit ribosomal RNA", at positions 338 to 795 of the family's 1533-position model. The record is from RNAcentral.